UACAGAGGUGGCAAGCGUUGUCCGGAUUUACUGGGUAUAAAGGGUGCGUAGGCGGACCUAUAAGUCGAGCGUUAAAGAUCUUCGCUUAACGAAGAAAAUGCGCUCGAUACUGUCGGUCUAGAGUGUUAGAGAGGAAACUGGAAUUUCCGGUGUAGCGGUGGAAUGUGUAGAGAUCGGAAGGAACACCAGUGGCGAAGGCAGGUUUCUGGCUAACAACUGACGCUGAGGCACGAAAGCGCGGGUAGCAAACAGG
Molecule: ribosomal RNA, 253 nt
Filed under: uncultured bacterium
Lineage: Bacteria
Description: partial 16S ribosomal RNA
Rfam family: Bacterial small subunit ribosomal RNA
Source: RNAcentral